GACGAACGCUGGCGGCGUGCCUAAUACAUGCAAGUAGAACGCUGAAGAGAGGAGCUUACUCUUCUUGGAUGAGUUGCGAACGGGUGAGUAACGCGUAGGUAACCUGCCUUGUAGCGGGGGAUAACUAUUGGAAACGAUAGCUAAUACCGCAUAACAAUGGAUGACACAUGUCAUUUAUUUGAAAGGGGCAAUUGCUCCACUACAAGAUGGACCUGCGUUGUAUUAGCUAGUAGGUGAGGUAAUGGCUCACCUAGGCGACGAUACAUAGCCGACCUGAGAGGGUGAUCGGCCACACUGGGACUGAGACACGGCCCAGACUCCUACGGGAGGCAGCAGUAGGGAAUCUUCGGCAAUGGGGGCAACCCUGACCGAGCAACGCCGCGUGAGUGAAGAAGGUUUUCGGAUCGUAAAGCUCUGUUGUAAGUCAAGAACGGGUGUGAGAGUGGAAAGUUCACACUGUGACGGUAGCUUACCAGAAAGAGACGGCUAACUACGUG
RNAcentral lists this ribosomal RNA (497 nucleotides) under uncultured bacterium. RNAcentral's name for it is "partial 16S ribosomal RNA". It matches the Rfam family "Bacterial small subunit ribosomal RNA", at positions 28 to 507 of the family's 1533-position model. The record is from RNAcentral.